CUGUGUGAGCACUUCACGCAAUCAAUAUCAUUAGGUAAGGAGGUGAUCCAACCGCAGGUUCCCCUACGGUUA
RNAcentral lists this transfer RNA (72 nucleotides) under Serratia liquefaciens FK01. RNAcentral's name for it is "tRNA-Ala". The record is from RNAcentral. Lineage: Bacteria; Pseudomonadati; Pseudomonadota; Gammaproteobacteria; Enterobacterales; Yersiniaceae.